This 466-nucleotide ribosomal RNA is filed under the name Vreelandella stevensii. RNAcentral describes it as "partial 16S ribosomal RNA". It matches the Rfam family "Bacterial small subunit ribosomal RNA", at positions 338 to 795 of the family's 1533-position model. Lineage: Bacteria; Pseudomonadati; Pseudomonadota; Gammaproteobacteria; Oceanospirillales; Halomonadaceae. The record is from RNAcentral.
CCUACGGGAGGCAGCAGUGGGGAAUAUUGGACAAUGGGCGAAAGCCUGAUCCAGCCAUGCCGCGUGUGUGAAGAAGGCCUUCGGGUUGUAAAGCACUUUCAGAGGGGAAGAAAGCCUUGGGGCUAAUACCCUCGAGGAAGGACAUCACCCACAGAAGAAGCACCGGCUAACUCCGUGCCAGCAGCCGCGGUAAUACGGAGGGUGCGAGGCGUUAAUCGGAAUUACUGGGCGUAAAGCGCGCGUAGGCGGUCUGAUAAGCCGGUUGUGAAAGCCCCGGGCUCAACCUGGGAACGGCAUCCGGAACUGGCAGGCUAGAGUGCAGGAGAGGAAGGUAGAAUUCCCGGUGUAGCGGUGAAAUGCGUAGAGAUCGGGAGGAAUACCGGUGGCGAAGGCGGCCUUCUGGACUGACACUGACGCUGAGGUGCGAAAGCGUGGGUAGCAAACAGGAUUAGAUACCCUAGUAGUC